RNAcentral lists this non-coding RNA (23 nucleotides) under Cricetulus griseus (Chinese hamster). The record is from RNAcentral. Lineage: Eukaryota; Metazoa; Chordata; Mammalia; Rodentia; Cricetidae.
UUUACGUAUGGGCUAUGGAGACC